GAUGAAGAACGCAGCGAAAUGCGAUACGUAGUGUGAAUUGCAGAAUUCAGUGAAUCAUCGAAUCUUUGAACGCACAUUGCACCUCUCGGUAUUCCGGGAGGUAUGCCUGUUCGAGCGUCAUUUGUACCCUCAAGCUCUGCUUGGUGUUGGGUGUUUGUUCCGCCUCUGUGUGUGAACUCCCCUCAAAACAAUUGGCAGUCGGCGUACUUGUUUCGGAGCGCAGCACAUUUUGCGAUCCAGAUCAACGUACAGCGGCAUCCAAGAAGCCUUAUUUAACGCUCUUGACCUCGGAUCAGGUAGGGAUACCCGCUGAACUUAAGCAUAUCAAUAAGCGGAGGA
RNAcentral lists this unclassified non-coding RNA (339 nucleotides) under soil metagenome. Its description in RNAcentral is "partial contains 5.8S ribosomal RNA, internal transcribed spacer 2, and large subunit ribosomal RNA". The stretch from base 1 to 120 matches the Rfam family "5.8S ribosomal RNA", at positions 35 to 154 of the family's 154-position model. The record is from RNAcentral.